This 62-nucleotide microRNA precursor is filed under the name Callithrix jacchus (white-tufted-ear marmoset). RNAcentral's name for it is "precursor 22_2504 miRNA". It matches the Rfam family "mir-199 microRNA precursor family", at positions 12 to 70 of the family's 80-position model. From Rfam's summary of the family: This family consists of the microRNA (miRNA) precursor mir-199 which appears to be specific to humans. Lineage: Eukaryota; Metazoa; Chordata; Mammalia; Primates; Cebidae. The record is from RNAcentral.
CCCAGUGUUCAGACUACCUGUUCAGGAGGCCGUCAAUGUGUACAGUAGUCUGCACAUUGGUU